GAAUCUUAGACAAUGGGCGCAAGCCUGAUCUAGCCAUGCCGCGUGAGUGACGAAGGCCCUAGGGUCGUAAAGCUCUUUCGGCGGGGAGGAUGAUGACGGUACCCGCAGAAGAAGCCCCGGCUAACUCCGUGCCAGCAGCCGCGGUAAUACGGAGGGGGCUAGCGUUGUUCGGAAUUACUGGGCGUAAAGGGCGCGUAGGCGGUGCGGUAAGUUAGGCGUGAAAGGCCCGGGCUCAACCCGGGAACUGCGCUUAAGACUGCCGCGCUCUGAGUCCGAGAGAGGAUGGCGGAAUUCCCAGUGUAGAGGUGAAAUUCGUAGAUAUUGGGAAGAACACCAGUGGCGAAGGCGGCCAUCUGGCUCGGUACUGACGCUGAGGCGCGAAAGCGUGGGGAGCAAACAGG
RNAcentral lists this ribosomal RNA (401 nucleotides) under uncultured bacterium. Its description in RNAcentral is "bacterial SSU rRNA". It matches the Rfam family "Bacterial small subunit ribosomal RNA", at positions 359 to 776 of the family's 1533-position model. The record is from RNAcentral.